AAUAACAAAUGGAAUUAUGGGUAAUUUAUUCAAAUGGCGGAAUGAUUACAAUGCUGACUAUGGUUCCACUUCAGUGAUUUGUAAAGAAGGGAUGACCGACUUAUUUGGUACUCCAUGAUUUUGACAGACACAACAUAUUAAAAUGGAAAACGACGUGGAUGUAGAUAAACGUGAGGAAGUGUUCCACAACGCUGUCCGAGAAUACAUCAUAUUCAUGCUGCUCUUCAUCCUGCUGUAUGUGAGUUCCUACAUAACUAUCUGCUAUUUCAAAAGAAAAGCUGAUUCUGAUGACACCUAUGCUGGUGGAGAGGAAGAUGCUGUUGUAUACAGAAUAGCGUUAUGGCUGUGUACAUUCACUCUGUCCGUGUCUGUUGGUGCUGUUCUGCUGUUGCCCAUAUCUAUCAUAUCCAACGAAGUGCUGCAUCACUAUCCAAAAAGUUAUUACGUCAAGUGGCUUAACAGCUCCCUCAUCCACGGAUUAUGGAAUAUGCAGUUUGCCAUGUCCAAUGUUUCACUGUUUUUCUUCAUGCCAUUUGCAUAUUUUUUCACGGAAUCUGAAGGUUUUGUAGGGUAUAAAAAGGGUGUAAUGGCGCGUGUCUACGAGUCUGUCAUUGUCCUCUUCCUACUCACCCUUGUUAUUGUGGGUUGUGUGUGGGUCGUGUCUGCAUGUUUUGAUGAAGACGUCCACAAAAAACAGAGAUUAUUUGAUCUCCUUUCAGAUAUCUGGAACUUCUAUUUGCCGUAUAUUUACGCAAUCAUAUCAUUUAUUGGAGUCAUUGUCUUACUUUUAUGUACACCUGUGGGUUUUGCCCGAAUGUUUACUGUGAUGGGUAAACUUGUUGUUAAACCAAAGUUUUUAAGAGAUAUAGAUGAAGAGUUUGCAACUUUAAAAAUGCAAGAGGAAAGUAUACGUAGGAAAAUAGACUGUGAAUUACAUCACCAACAUAGCACUAUAGCAAAUGGCCAUGCUACAUCAGGCUCCCUACAAAAACAGCUGGAGGAAAUAGAAAAAGAUAAAGCUGAAUUAGAAAAAAGGAAAAAGAUAUCUCCCUUGAGAAGGAACCUUGGAUAUCCCUUGGUUAUCCUUGCUUUGUUAGCAUUAACAGUAUUGUGUGUGUUAAGUGUGGCACACCAUUUCUUUGAACUCCUAGUUGGAAUCAAAGCCCUUCCAGUCGGAGCCAAGGAGACUGUGUUAGGAAUCUCGUCCUUGUCUGCUCUGGGGUCUGUUGGUGCUGUCCUGGAGAUUGUCCUAAUCCUAUAUGUCAUGUCUGCCUCUAUAGAGGGAUUCUACUCGCUGCCGUUCUUUAGGCGACUUACACCAGAGCCACACAAUACCUCCAUGGUUCAGACCAUUGGCAACUGUGUUGUGCUGCUCAUCCUUAGCUCAGCCCUGCCAGUUCUGUCUCGGAUCAUGGGUAUUACAAACUUUGACCUGAUCGGGAACUUUGGCAGUAUGGACUGGCUGGGUAACUUUUACCUUAUUCUUACUUGUAAUGCUGUUUUUGCCACGACAACUACUAUGUGUUUGACCAACAAGUUCACAGGGACAGUGCGGUCAGAGGUGUUCAACCGACUGUGGACCUGGGUGUCACAAAAGGAAAAAAAACAAAAACCUCAAAGUUACACAUCCUUCAAGGAUGAUUAAUUCCAUGUGGAAGAAGAAAUACAAUCCACACAGAUGACAAUCCAUUUGCAAGGCAAUCUACGCAAGAAAUCCAGACAGGCACUAGAAUUACAUUAAACGAGAAGGCCACCCACCUAAAAAUCCUAACAGAGAUUCCACACAAAGAGCAUCGCAUUCCGGAAUUGGGCACAAAGACAAUCACACUAUGAAAUUCUGCGCAAAAAGAGAAUAAGGUUCUUUGAUUAAUUUGUUAAUUAACAUUUUAAACUGGUACAAUAGUUAUAAUUGGCACUAUUUGCCUAAAAAUAUGGAGAAAGAAAAACAUCUGUAUACAUUGAUCUCUGAACAUGAUGCUAGACAAAUUUUGACAGUGAUGUCGUUAAUACCGUUUAGAGGUUAUCAUUUGUAAGGACUUAAGUGUGUGAUAUUUUUAUGGUCUGACCACAAUCUUAAAUGCUUGUUAUGUAGUUAAACAUUACAAUUAUCUAUAUGACACUGUUAGUGGUAUACUGUUGAUGAUCGUACAAGUGACUAGACCAUUACUUAACUUUAUACGGCUAGAUACCAGCAAACAUCAGACAUACUGGUGAUACAACUAUUACCUGGUAGUAAUGUAUUGGUGAUCACACAAUAAGAUAGUAAUAUAGCGCUAGUGAUCACAAUAUUAGUAAACUCAACAUUACACUAUUGUACUAAUGAUCACAACAUAAGUUAUAUAGCGCUAGUGAUCACAACAUUAGUAAACUCAAUAUUACACUAUUGUACCAAUGAUCACAACAUAAGUUAUAUAGCGCUAGUGAUCACAACAUUAGUAAACUCAACAUUACACUAUUGUACCAGCGGUCACAUUACUAAUAAAUUACACUGUUAAUAUUACUAGUAAAUUCACGAUUUUACUACUAGUUGUAACUGUGCUAGUGGUCACACUUUUAGUAAUACUAGUAAACUCGCUAUCAUACCAUUACUAAAACUUGUUAACUCACCAUUGCACUUACUAUUAGUAAUACUAGUAAACUCGCUAUUACACUGUUGUACUAAUGAUCACACUAUUAGUAGCAAUAUUGCUAGUGGUAGCAGCACUUAAACUCGCUAUUUGACUAUUAGUUUCACAAGUGAUCAUACCAUUACUAAAACUUAUUAACUCACCAUAACACUUUUAGUAAUACUAGUAAACUCGCUACCAUACCAUUACUAAAACUAGUUAACUCACCAUAAGUGACAGUGAUCACACCAUUACUAAAACUUAUUAACUCACCAUUACACUUUUAGUAUUAGUACUAGUAAACUUGCCAUUAGUAACACUAGUUAUCUCAUCAUUAGUGACAGUGAUCAUGCUAUAAUUAUACAAGUGAUCAGUGUUAAGCCUAGCAAUGCAAAUAUCUGAUGUUAUUGUUUUUCUGAGAGAAUUGGCUUUAUUUAUGUAUGGGAUUUUUCUUUGAACAAAAAAACUUAUUUAUAUGCAUUUUUUUUAUUUAUUUUGAUGGAAUGAUUUUUUUUUUAUCAAAUAUAUGUUUUUGUAAUAGACAUAUGGGAAUGAAUUUGUUACAAGAGGUAUUUGUAGCAAAGCUAUGUAAAAAGUACAAUUGUUAUAACAUGUAUUGUGAUAUAAAGGUCAGUUAUGUACCGAUGUAUGUUGUAUUGCCUUGAUAGGCCAGAGGUGCCAUGUUGAGUGGCAAAACAUCUCAUUGUUUAGUGGUGCUUAGAAAAAUACAAAUUAAAGGAAUAGAUGGUGUUCAGCUAUGACACAGAAUGGGAAGGAAAAGUUGUUGAGUGAUAUACAUAAUAUAUAGUUUGUGUGAUUUGAAAUUAAGCAUUCUAUAAUACUUUUGCCAAUGUUUUCAUUAAUGCCAUUUUGACAUCAUCAUCAACCAUUGUGUUCCGAUUGUGUGUUAUAUUUUAUACUGAGAUGUCUAAUUUUGCUAAAUUUCUAUAUUUUAGAGACCGAAACACUGUUAUAGGUAAUAACUUCAGCAGAACAGCACCAUACACAGUAAUGAUCAUAUACUUGUUAGUAAACCCAAACUCUACAAUUCUAUGCUGAAGGAAUUGUAAACUAGCUUGUAAGGAGUGUCCCUUGGCCAAAAAGAGUUAAAAUUGUGUGAAUUAAUGGUGCAGCUGUCCUGGGGCUGGAGGGGUAAAACUUAAAAAAAUAAUCUGAAAAACUGCUUGACAUAGUUAAUUUAAUUGACUAUAGAGCAACUCUUGGGCAAUCAGAAUCAGUUUUGUAUAGGAAAUUGGUGUUGACAAGGUGUCCAGAUACUGUUGACAAGGUGUCCAGGUACUGUUGACAAGGUGUCCAGGUACUGUUGACAUUGAGGUUGGUUGAUGUUAACAAAAAUUACUACAAAUGUUCCUGUUAUUACGCUGAUGUGUUAUUAUUGUAAAAAGUUGCAGCUCAAUUUGAAAUCCAAGAUGGCUUCCAUGGUCUUCAAUUGUCAGGAACAUUUCAGCUUCUUUUCUAGUUUAAAAGAAUACCAAAAUAUAGGCUAACAAUUUAACUGUACUUUGUGAAACUAUAUAGAAAAAAAGAGAUGCACAUUUAUAUUACUGUAAUAUACAUUUCAAUUUUAGCUUGUUUCCAGGUCGUUAAUUCAAUUUUUCAUAGGUACUUCAGAGAUGAGUGUAAAUGAGGUGAGUUAUUUCAGCCUCUUAUUUAAAUGUAUGCCAACUGGUUGUACAGUGAACAUAGAAAAUCAAAUCCUUGAUGCCCAGUGACUAAUAGCAAUUACUUAUAACGUAUACUAGUGGACAUAUGUCAGUAGAAUAAGCCAAACUAUUAUGUUUCAUGAGAGAAUAAUUCCCACUUCAUUCAAAAGGAGUUAAUAUGUAGUAUGUAUAGUAAUAUGGUGUAUGUAUUUGAUAUCCAUUGGUAUAGGAAUAUUACAUAUGCCAGUAUUUCAUUAUGUAAUGAGAAGUGUGGCGAGUAUCACUACACUACACACAAAUCCCUGUACAGCAACAUAGUAGCAAAACAUAAUAGUCAAUAUAAUAAAUUGCUAACAUAGAAUUGAAUCCAAAUUAUUUUUAAAAAAUAGGGGUAAAUAUUUACUAAAUUUUGCCUCAUCUCUUUCCUAUGCAUGUACUGUAUGCCAAGUAACAUAAGUUCAGACAAGGCCUCUUGUUUCACUGUAGUGUUUAAGGGUUAUUCACUCUGGUGUGUUUUGAUAAUAUUUUCAUGGCUUUUCUAGGUUGUCAUCUCUCAGAUGAAGACAAUUAUUCAGUGCUCUUAUCUCCGUAAUAUCCACAAUAGAUCUUAUAUCAAGGUACCUUUUGUUUUAAAAAAAGAUUAAUGAAAUUUAGUGUGUGAUCUUGUAUCAGCCCCUCUUGUGAUUUUACACUGUCCCAAAAUAGAAUCAUUAUAAGGGACCUACCUUGCAUUGAAUGUGGGGAAAAAAGAUGGGACUAUGUACCUUAAAUUUCUAAAUGACCCUCAUAGGUAGGGGUAGUUGUAGGUCAAUCAGAUGUUGUUAUUAUGUUUUCCAAGAGAAUGUGGACUACUUACUUAGUUGAGAUUCUCAAAUCUGGGCCAAACUUGAACAAGUCUUCCUGGAAAGCAACUCUUAACUUUUACUGACGAGGUGUUGUUUUCAUGGGACACAAACAAAGUGAGACUUUUUUCUGUAGUUUUGUAUAAAUGAGAUUAUGUAUGAACUUGCUUUAAUAAUAUUGCUCACUUUUUAAGCCUGAAAAACAUGUUGAAUAGGUUGGCUUCACAGAAUAUAUGAUUUAUAGGUAGGAUUCAUAAAGAUAUAAAUUUCAUUGUCAUGUAUAUUCAGCAUAAUAUUAUCCUUAACAAAUACGAUGAAUGUUGCUACUGACCUGAUUGUAAUAAUGAAGUGCUCUUUUUAAUCAAUCUAUUGUGUCUUGCCUGUAACAAGAAUAAGCUAAUGCCAAAAGAUAGGUUGUGUUCCGAUGAUUAGUGUUCCUUUAAGUUAGUACAUAACAGGUGAUGACUGUUAGGUGUUGCAUCAUUGGUGUAAAUUUGGUCUCUGCUGUGUGGUCUUGAGGUGUAUGGUAUGACCCUAUAUGCCUUUCUUGUGACUCUGGGUACAGCAUUUGACUUUAAUUCUGUGUAGUAAUAUGUUUGGCAAACUUAUGUAAGUCUCAGUUGUGAUGUUUCUGCUGAAGUAGCCAUGAGCUUCCGUACGGCUGAUUUUAUCUUGUAUUUGUAUAUCAAGGCCUUCCAUUAUGUUGCUAAGAAAACAAACAUUAAUCGAUUAUGAAAAUAUGUAGUUUAAAUAGAGGCUUCAUAAAAUGUCACAAUAAAAUGAAAGAUAUCACAAUUAGUUUGUUCAAAGAUAGGUCUGCUAAUUUCACAAGUGACUUAUGAAUUAUUUCCCUUUGAAACAAAUACCAUGGCUACAUAACGCUAAAGCAUGUCUAUUAUUUGCUCAAACACAUGAUUAGUAUUCAGUAUAAUUUUUUUUACAUAUGAACAAGAGACGCUGACACAAUUGAAAAAUUCAACACUGAGAAAACAGCAAAAAGACAGACUAUGUCUUAUUCUCAUAUACAAAUUUAAAACUAAUUGAAAAAUGGACAAAACAAACUAUUUGAUAGACAAAAAUACAUCUCAAAAUUGAUACAUGUAUAUAGAUCUAUUAAAUGAGUAUGAUUUGACCUUUUCUGUACCAAUAUCUGACCCCUGUGGUCUUCCCACAAUGCUAUCAUUGAGGGCUAUCACAACUUACAGUUCCAGUGUCAGUGCUGU
This 6335-nucleotide unclassified non-coding RNA is filed under the name Mizuhopecten yessoensis (Yesso scallop). RNAcentral describes it as "protein LMBR1L-like, transcript variant X1". The record is from RNAcentral. Lineage: Eukaryota; Metazoa; Mollusca; Bivalvia; Pectinida; Pectinidae.